Molecule: transfer RNA, 75 nt
Filed under: Pseudomonas syringae pv. actinidiae
Lineage: Bacteria; Pseudomonadati; Pseudomonadota; Gammaproteobacteria; Pseudomonadales; Pseudomonadaceae
Description: tRNA-Val
Rfam family: tRNA
About the family: Transfer RNA (tRNA) molecules are approximately 80 nucleotides in length. Their secondary structure includes four short double-helical elements and three loops (D, anti-codon, and T loops).
Source: RNAcentral
GGGUGAUUAGCUCAGCUGGGAGAGCAGCUGCCUUACAAGCAGCGGGUCGGCGGUUCGAUCCCGUCAUCACCCACC